UAUACCUCACCAGGUCCAGACAGAGUUAGGAUUGACAGAUUGAUAGCUCUUUCUUGAUUCUUUGGGUGGUGGUGCAUGGCCGUUCUUAGUUGGUGGAGUGAUUUGUCUGGUUAAUUCCGUUAACGAACGAGACCUUAACCUGCUAACUAGCAUGUGCGAUAUUGUCGCGUUUUGCUUCUUAGAGGGACUCCUGCGCAUUAAGCGUUGGGGAAGUUUAAGGCAAUAACAGGUCUGUGAUGCCCUUAGAUGUCCUGGGCUGCACGCGCGCUACACUGAUGCAUCCAUCGAGUUGUUCCUGUCCCGAGAGGGCUGGGUAAUCUUGAGUGUGCAUCGUGUCGGGGAUUGAUUUUUGCAAUUCUAAAUCAUGAACGAGGAAUGCCUAGUAUGCGCAAGUCAUCAGCUUGUGCAGAUUACGUCCCUGCCCUUUGUACA
RNAcentral lists this ribosomal RNA (432 nucleotides) under Babesia sp. RNAcentral describes it as "SSU rRNA". It matches the Rfam family "Eukaryotic small subunit ribosomal RNA", at positions 1209 to 1666 of the family's 1831-position model. The record is from RNAcentral. Lineage: Eukaryota; Apicomplexa; Aconoidasida; Piroplasmida; Babesiidae.